This is a long non-coding RNA of Oncorhynchus tshawytscha (Chinook salmon), 2035 nucleotides long. The record is from Ensembl. NCBI's taxonomy places the organism in Eukaryota, Metazoa, Chordata, Actinopteri, Salmoniformes, Salmonidae.
ACAACCCCGCUCACAUGCUCUGCUCUUGGAGCAUUCAGAGGGCACACUGGACGCUCUGGCCAAGGAGUAGUUUUGAUCCAAGCUAUUUGACCACACAAAGGCAGUCAAGCACCCAAGGUAACUGACUAAAGUUGGCUAGCUUGCUAGCUACUUCCAGACACCUCACUCUAACCAUUUUACUCGCAAACUGGUUAGGCUGUUUUCAUGUUAUCUAGAGUGUAGGUGACUGUAACUGCAGCUGGCAACAAUUGAAUAAAACAUUUUUACCAACGUUUACUUACACCGUUCAUAUUCAACUGGUUUUGUACAUUUGUAAAUGCAUCAGUUAUUCUGCACUCUGACACAAUCAGAAGAGAGUGAUCUAAAACCAUCCCCAGAAGAAAAAAUGUGUCCCGCGACUGAAUCUAGUUGACGAUCCCUGAUAUAGGCUAUGUAUUGGAUAACAGCACAAUAAUUUGGGCUUGAGCUCAUUAAAUGUAUUUAAUGUAUGGCUCAUCAGGCUCAAGUAGCAUCAGGCAUGAAUUUUCUAUCAAAGCUCUCAUCAAAUCCAGACAGGCCUCUUUAUAUGCUUUAUAAUGCUUUUGAAUGACACUUCCUGUUUUGGUGGGAAAUACCGGGCUACCCGGGAGAAAAUGUAUUUAUUUUCGGGAUGGAACAUUUGUUAAAUACCUGGAAAAUAUUCAACCCUACUCUGGACGGCUGUCUGUUUCCUACACCACGACGAAAGAUUAAAUAAAUAAUUUUCUCUGGGCUACGUGGGGCAGAACGUGGUCAACGGCAGAGUCACUGUUAUGACGGUCCCCGAGCUCAACCCCACACAUCAACCAAAGGGCUGGAGUCAAAGAAAAGACCCAGAACCUUCCAUCAAACCCCCACUAGCAGGACAGUGAGGACAGAUAUAAGUAUGUGUAUUGACUCAAGCCAACAACUUUAAAGGAAGUAUGAAAUGAUUGCUUUGUUGAAAUAAAUAUUUGUCUUAACUAUUGGCUCAACCAUUGAAAUGUUUUGUUGAAGUCAUUCUAUCCUAUCAGUGAGGUGAUGGUUCUCUAUUCUCCCAGCAGGGGGCCACACAUGGCUGAGGAUCUCUACUGAAUAACGGAGCAGAAAAACAGGAUAAAUGGCAGAUGUAUUAUCAUAUCUACACACUAGGGGGAGAAGACACCAAAGAAGAUCUUGACAUCUUCUCCAUUUGGUCUCUUUUGAUCAGCCUGAGAGGUCUUCACAGGUCCUACUGAACCCGAAAUCCAACCAAAAUUCAAACCUUUCCCUCGGGUCCUUGUCGGGUCCUGUUUGAUUAUCAUCGGGUCUCGGGUCUAUGUAACCACAGCUGAUAGAACCGACUGGACACGAAUGGAUCCAACAAGGGCUCUGCAUAGCCAAUAGCAUAUGUAUUUUACGCUAACAACGUGCAUUCAUGGACUUAUAGAAGACCUAACCAACAGAUAAAGACUUGGCUGAUUAACAUUAUUGUUUGUCACUCGGUUCGGGUUUAGACCCGGACCCGUUGGGGUAUGGGUUGGGUCUAGGUCUGGUUGUUGUCGAGUCCAUUCAGGUUCGGGUCUGAUUGUUCUCGUGUCCGUUAGUGUCCGGGUUCAACUUUUUGGAAAUGUGAAGCGCUCUACUUUAAACAACCUAAAUAUAUGAAAGAUAAAAUACGGCCUUUAGAGCGCACUGAUUGUUCAGGGACACCACGGUAUCUGUCUGUCUGUGUGUGUUAAAAGCAGAGAAAACAUCCAUAGCGGUGUUUCUCUUCUUGUGACUAGCAGUGCCCGCCCAGUAAGCAGACUGCAGCAGCUCUCCCCAUUCUAUAAGAGUUCUGUCACGCCCUGGCCAUAGAGAGGCUUUUUAUUCUCUGUUUUGGUUAGGCCAGGGUGUUACUUGGGUGGGCAUUCUAUGUUCUUUUUUCUAUGUUUUUGUAUUUCUUUGUUUUUGGCUGGGUAUGGUUCUCAAUCAGGGACAGCUGUCUUGUCUCUGAUUGAGAACCAUACUUAGGUAGCUCUUGCCCACAUGGGUUUUGUGGGUAGUUGUUUCCCGU